UCCAAAACAUCUGUCUGGCCCUGGGACGUUCUUCUCGUCUAGUCCUGUAUUAGAUAAUUCGGAGUUAGUCAGAACUGCACUAGCUAAGUCACUCUAUAAGUGUAUUCUUCCUGCAUGAGAUGUAAACGAAACCCAGUUAAAGUGAGAGUUGGGCAAUAAAAGACCGUAUAUAAAGCACACAAGCUCAUGAGCUCCAGUGUUACUGUGAGAUAACUUUCACACACCGUAAUGGGGUGGACAGAGAAUCUCCUGAUUUGUUCUUUCUUUGUGUCAGUUUACCUGCUGACACAGGCUGAAUGUGGUCCUGUAAAUUCAGACUCAGCUAGGAUUGUGGAAAAAAUUGUGGCUCAUAGGGAUUUCAUAAGAGAAAGACGAGACGGAGAGGUAUGGCUGUUUUUCAAUCUUUGUUGUUUUUUUUGUUUGUUUUUACCAUUGCAUUUUCAAUUUACAUGCAUACACUUUUAAAUAUACUUGAUGUUGUUUUUUUAAAUAAAAUCAUUAUCUUUCUCUAAUCUACUAAGUACUGUUCAGGUAUGUGAAUUAUAUUUUUCCUCAUUAUAUUUUAUUCAAAACCAUUUAAUUCAGAUAUUAAACACAGAUAUUAAAAUUAGAGUCUUAUAUGAAAAUGUGGCGUUUCAACUUCAGCCAGUUCAACCAUGGUUUACAUUCUAGUAAAACAUUUUACAACUUCAUUAGAAGAGACUAUGUUUAGAUUAUCUAUACUUCUUUAGACCUCCAAAAGGGUCUUGAUAACAUGAAGAUUAAAUGUAAGGAUGCAUAUAAAAUAGCAAAGGACAAUAUCGAGGGUCUUAAAAGCCAACUGGAUGGUCUUUUUAAACAAGUCAGUACAACCCAGAAUCCAGCCAAGGAUGUCUUAAACAUUCUUCAGAAAGUCGUUGACCUACAGGAGAUGGAUGCAAUAUUAAACACUGAGAGAGAUGCAGCAAAGAUUGAAAGACUAGACAAGCGUCGGAGGGAAGCAGAGAGAGACUUAGCAGAGAUGAAAACAGGAUUUUCAGGAAGUGUUGAAAUUUUCGAGCGGGCAGUCUCGAAGAUAAACGCAGAGAUGUUGAAAAGCGAUAAGGCGACA
Molecule: long non-coding RNA, 1090 nt
Organism: Carassius carassius (crucian carp)
Lineage: Eukaryota; Metazoa; Chordata; Actinopteri; Cypriniformes; Cyprinidae
Exons: 7
Source: RefSeq, a predicted model, not a curated record